GUUUGAUGGGGGGACGGAGAAGGCUAUAUCAGCCAGCGAUUGGUUGUGCUGGUGAAAGGUAGUAGGCAGAGAAUUUAGGCAAAUCCGGAUUCUUAAUGCCGAGAACUAAUGACGGGGUACCUACGGGGACCGAAGUGAUAGAUGCCAUGCUUCCAAGAAAAGCCUCUAAGCCUCAGAUAACAUAGAAACCGUACCCAAAACCGACACAGGUGGACAGGGCGAGAAUCCCAAGGCGCUUGAGAGAACUCGGGUGAAGGAACUAGGCAAAAUAGCACCGUAACUUCGG
This 286-nucleotide ribosomal RNA is filed under the name Ctenophora environmental sample. RNAcentral describes it as "partial Bacterial large subunit ribosomal RNA". It matches the Rfam family "Bacterial large subunit ribosomal RNA", at positions 1459 to 1739 of the family's 2925-position model. The record is from RNAcentral. Lineage: Eukaryota; Metazoa; Ctenophora.